Anas platyrhynchos (mallard) is the source of this 3833-nucleotide long non-coding RNA. RefSeq lists it as uncharacterized. The record is from RefSeq and is a predicted model, not a curated record. Lineage: Eukaryota; Metazoa; Chordata; Aves; Anseriformes; Anatidae.
CAGGCCCAGACAUGGGGUAGGCUGCAAAUCCAGAUCCUGGGGGCAAACCCUGGGAGCUUUAAGCAGGGUGAAUAAUAGGGGCUUAGCCUCAGAAAGGAUCAAGUUGUACCUUUAGAGCUGGCCUUCAUCUGCACCUUAAGUAUGUUUUGAGAUCUACCCUGACUCAUUCCAGCUUGUUUUCGCGUCAGCGGGCAGUGCCAGCAUGGGUAGGAGGGGACAGGAACCUUCACAGCCUGCUUCGAGAAGGGUGGAGCAGCCGUACAGGAUCCACCAAACCUCUCGGAUGGCCACAGGCACAGAGGUGCUGCCUGCAACACCCCAGCAAUGCCCUACAGCCUGGUGGGUCAGACCUUAGGCAUAAAUCCCUCCAUAGGCUCAAAUUGCAGCCAAGGAGGGGAUUUAGGCUCCUACUGGGUCACUGCCAGAGCUGCCUGUGUCCCGAGCUUCCCCCUCGCUGACACUGGGGGCUGAGGCUUUCGAGGUCUCCUUGUGGGCAGUCCCCCCUUAGAAGGAUUAAGCAUUAACAGGGCGGGAGAGAUGGAGCGUGUAACUUGGGCACCGGCUGGGAAAACAGGGUUACGGCUCCUUAAACCCAGGCGUAUCACAUGUCAUUCGCUCUCUUUUCUUUUUGCAGGCAGGGGUGGAAAGGUUAAUGAGCUCACCCAGGGCUGUGAUGAGCUUUGUUGGCAAGAGGAGAGCCUCCAAAAGCCUGGGGUGAGUGCUCCGAUGCAGGGUGGUCCCUCGGCCCCUCUUGACCCAGCGGUGAAGAGCCCGCAGGAGCUCAGGCUUGUCCCUCUGUCCUCUGCUGCAUAGCUUGGGUCUGGCUCUAACAGCAAAAUGAUGGCUGCAAUCCUGUGCCCUGAAAAACCAAAGGGAUUUUCCAGGACUGGGAAACUCCCUGGGACAGUAGUAAUGGCAGGGACAGAGCUUUUCAGCGAGAUGCGCAUAGCAGGAACCAGCCAUGCAGGGAAGGCAGGUCUGCAGUGUUGUUGCUGCACCACGGGGAGGUGUGACAUGUGGGCGUAGCCUUAAUUCACCCCGUUUCCACCCCGAUGUGCUGCGAGCUGGGAACAGCAGGGAGCUGGGUGCGUGGUGUCUGCGUGGUGAAGGGGCACGGCGAGGUGUUACAAACGCCGCCUUCCCUUCCCUUCUCUUCCCUGCUGGCUGCCUGCUCUAAGGGCUUUAAGAAGCAGGGUCGAUGCAAGCCCCCGGUUCUGAUUCCCACCGCGGUGCUGCUGGUGCUUACGUGCAUUUGGGCAGAGACCUUGCUUCAUCCCUCCACCCUACUGCAGCUUUUUUGCUUGCUGUAGCCAGCUUGUGAGCAUCUUUGCACUUGCAGAGCUGCCUUCACACCCCAGUCUUGAGCUGCUGGUCCAGUUUAUGCUUUACUGUUGCAAGCAGGGGUUGGAGAAGUCCAUGGUGGCUGUGUGAUGGCUCUGCCUUGGUGGCAUCUCCCUGCUUCCCUUGGCAAUAAGGGGACAGCUGCUGCCUCAGUGCCCUCUGCCAGGUGAGCCCUACUGAGACCAGGGACAAAUUCCCUGAGACUCCCUGAGUCUGGCCAGGACAUCGUGGACCACUUGUACAGGUGGGAGAAGGCUGAUAGCCACAUCCAUUUCACGUAUUGGUCCUUUCAGUUGUGAUGCUUUCAGCAACCUGGGACGCCGUGGGGCAAAUUCAGUGGUGCUGGCUAAAUUGGCAUAAUUCAGAGCCUCUCGGCUUCACUAAGGCUCCCUGGGCACUCUGUACACCCUGCCUGCUGAUGCAUAAAGCAACCUAAAUAAGUGUAAUUUAUGCACCAAGGAAAAAGGUGCUACUUAAAAGACCUCCCAGCCUGAAAUAACCUCUAAGUGAGGAUAGGGAGAGUGAGGGGAGCCUUGGCUUAAUGCCCCAUAGAGCAGCAUCUCCAAAUUUGGCCCUGGGCCUCAAAGCUUUUAAAAAGAGAGAACAAUUUCAGUUUGUAGGAGGUCAUAUGUGGUCUUGUGCACCUCUCCCCUACUUUGUUUGAGAGUCCUGGCCCAAGCAAGGCACAUCUGAGCAAGCUCAGGAGCGAAGCUCUUGGGGAAGCAGCGCUGGCUGUCAGUGCUGAAGAAGCUGAAUUUCCACCUGAAUUCCCAUCCUGUGUCUUUGCACCUCUGCAAAGCAGAGACAAAACAAGGCCCUUCCACUUGCUAACUGCUCCACACAAAUGCACGUGCCCAGCGAUGAAGCAGCAGCCCCUUCUGGCUGUUGAGCACACCCCAGCUCCCUGUCUUUUUCUCACUUUGACGCUCCCUUCAUGAGCAGGACAGGCUGUUUUCCAACCAGGCAGCUCCUGCUGGAUCAGAAACAUGUGGUUUUAUUGCCAUCAAUACUUUGCAGUGACCUGAAUAUUUCCAAACUUGUGUCAUCCUGCCCGGCGCACACUUAGUGCUUAAUUGUCGCUGGAGGCACUGCUAAUAUCGACACUCCGUGACCUGUCUGCAACCCAGGCCAGUCAAUACGGCCGUGAUGAACGGCUGGUAUGGGAAGUGCCAUUGCUGAUGCCUGGCUGAUAACAUUAUGUGCCUGUGACAUGCGAAUCAACCGCAGGAGUUGCUGUCAGCUUCUUCAGGAUGUGCAGAGCUGAAGGGGGACUUGUAAUGUAGUCUUCAGGGGCAGAGAAACCACAUGAGCAGAGGCAGGAGGACCUCACAACAGCACACUUGGAUCUGGGAUAAAAUCCCACUGGGAAGUUUCCAGCCUGUGCCAGGCUCCAGCAGAAUCCCCUAUGCAUUCAGCCUCUUUAAGGUAAGUUGCAUCUAAAAGACCCUUUAUAUAGCACAAGCCCUUAAGUUAUCCACAGGCAGUAUCCGAAAGGCAUAAAAUACAUCAGAAAUCACACCCAAAAAUGUAACAGAGUGCUUGCUGUCUGUGGAAGAGGCUGGAUGGGUGCAGCUUCUUGGACAGCGCUGGGCACACCAGCAUCACGGGCUGGUUUGCAGCAGCAAUGAGUUGUGGAGAAGCUCCCACAAACCAGCUUGGACCUCCUGGAUGCCCCAGGCUGAGCAGCCUUUUCCAGCUCAGCCCAAACCACAAAGGCAGCCACGUCCCCGCCUCACCCCACCUGAAGCCACGCCGCUGUCUUCUGCUCUGUGAUCAAACUCCCGCUGCCUUUGAUGGGAUUUAGAUGAGGUGUUUUUUCUGCCACCUCCUGCAUGAAAGCACACACGUAUCUUUAAGCACAUGUGGAGGAAAGCCUUGAGCGCUACAAUUCACCCAAAUCAUCAUGAUUCCUUUUAUUUUUACAUUAAAUGUUUUUGCUUUAUGAAAGGAAUAAAAGAACUAUAACAACCACAACGAAAUAAGAAAGUGAAUGCCCAGAGGUAACUACAAUAUAAAAUCAUAUUCAUCAUAUCAUAAUAUUUUACAUUUGCUUGUUUUAUGUGGAUUAAAAACCCCUCAACACACAGUCUAGCAGCAGCAAGGAAAGCAGCAGGAGAGGAAGGGCAAUGAGGGAAAAGCAAGGUGCAGGCCCAGAGGACUGGGACAGCAAGAAAAUGUCUCUGGCUCAAACAAGCCAGAAUUGAAUUGAACUCAAAGUUUUGCACCAAAUGGGUGGACCUACCUGCCCUUGGCCCCCUCCUUGGCCAUGGCCACUUGUACAAAUGUGCCUGCUCUACUUGCAACCAGCCACUUCAUAGCAUGAGCAAUGUGGCCACGGCAGCAGGGCACGAGCUAAAGGCAGCGUCCCCCUCCAGUGCCGCCCUCCUGCAAGGCUGCCGACACCAGGUUGGGCGGCUGUUGAAUUAAGGGGGAGAGAGUGGAACAAAUGGCAUGGGAUGCAGGGCAUUCUUCAUCUCCUGAAAGGCAUCAGA